AGAGGGAUAGUUGGGUCAAAUGGUGGUUCCAUUCCAAGAAAUCUCCACAGUGCUUUCCAUAUUGGCUACACCAAUUUGCAGUCCCACCAGCAAU
Molecule: microRNA precursor, 94 nt
Filed under: Marmota monax (woodchuck)
Lineage: Eukaryota; Metazoa; Chordata; Mammalia; Rodentia; Sciuridae
Source: RNAcentral